GACGAACGCUGGCGGCGUGCCUAAUACAUGCAAGUAGAACGCUGAAGGAGGAGCUUGCUUCUCUGGAUGAGUUGCGAACGGGUGAGUAACGCGUAGGUAACCUGCCUGGUAGCGGGGGAUAACUAUUGGAAACGAUAGCUAAUACCGCAUAAUAGCAGUUAUUGCAUGAUAACUGUUUGAAAGGUGCAAUUGCACCACUACCAGAUGGACCUGCGUUGUAUUAGCUAGUUGGUGGGGUAACGGCUCACCAAGGCGACGAUACAUAGCCGACCUGAGAGGGGGAUCGGCCACACUGGAACUGAGAACCGGCCCAGACUCCUACGGGAGGCAGCAGUAGGGAAUCUUCGGCAAUGGGCGGAAGCCUGACGGAGCAACGCCGCGUGAGUGAAGAAGGUUUUCGGAUCGUAAAGCUCUGUUGUAAGGGAAGAACGAGUGUGAAAGUGAAAAUGUACCACUUGACGGGUACUUAACAGAAAGGGAAGGGUAACCACGUG
This 494-nucleotide ribosomal RNA is filed under the name uncultured bacterium. RNAcentral describes it as "partial 16S ribosomal RNA". It matches the Rfam family "Bacterial small subunit ribosomal RNA", at positions 28 to 507 of the family's 1533-position model. The record is from RNAcentral.